AGGGCGCACGGUGGAUGCCUUGGCACUAGAAGCCGAUGAAGGACGUUACUAACGACGAUAUGCUUUGGGGAGCUGUAAGUAAGCUUUGAUCCAGAGAUUUCCGAAUGGGGAAACCCAGCAUGAGUUAUGUCAUGUUAUCGAUAUGUGAAUACAUAGCAUAUCAGAAGGCACACCCGGAGAACUGAAACAUCUUAGUACCCGGAGGAAGAGAAAGAAAAUUCGAUUCCCUUAGUAGCGGCGAGCGAAACGGGAAGAGCCCAAACCAACAAGCUUGCUUGUUGGGGUUGUAGGACACUCUAUACGGAGUUACAAAGGACGACAUUAGACGAAUCAUCUGGAAAGAUGAAUCAAAGAAGGUAAUAAUCCUGUAGUCGAAAAUGUUGUCUCUCUUGAGUGGAUCCUGAGUACGACGGAGCACGUGAAAUUCCGUCGGAAUUUGGGAGGACCAUCUCCUAAGGCUAAAUACUCUCUAGUGACCGAUAGCGAACCAGUACCGUGAGGGAAAGGUGAAAAGCACCCCGGAAGGGGAGUGAAAUAGAACCUGAAACCGUGUGCUUACAAGUAGUCAGAGCCCGUUAAUGGGUGAUGGCGUGCCUUUUGUAGAAUGAACCGGCGAGUUACGAUUUGAUGCAAGGUUAAGCAGUAAAUGUGGAGCCGUAGCGAAAGCGAGUCUGAAUAGGGCGUUUAGUAUUUGGUCGUAGACCCGAAACCAGGUGAUCUACCCUUGGUCAGGUUGAAGUUCAGGUAACACUGAAUGGAGGACCGAACCGACUUACGUUGAAAAGUGAGCGGAUGAACUGAGGGUAGCGGAGAAAUUCCAAUCGAACCUGGAGAUAGCUGGUUCUCUCCGAAAUAGCUUUAGGGCUAGCCUCAAGUGAUGAUUAUUGGAGGUAGAGCACUGUUUGGACGAGGGGCCCCUCUCGGGUUACCGAAUUCAGACAAACUCCGAAUGCCAAUUAAUUUAACUUGGGAGUCAGAACAUGGGUGAUAAGGUCCGUGUUCGAAAGGGAAACAGCCCAGACCACCAGCUAAGGUCCCAAAAUAUAUGUUAAGUGGAAAAGGAUGUGGCGUUGCCCAGACAACUAGGAUGUUGGCUUAGAAGCAGCCAUCAUUUAAAGAGUGCGUAAUAGCUCACUAGUCGAGUGACACUGCGCCGAAAAUGUACCGGGGCUAAACAUAUUACCGAAGCUGUGGAUUGUCCUUUGGACAAUGGUAGGAGAGCGUUCUAAGGGCGUUGAAGCAUGAUCGUAAGGACAUGUGGAGCGCUUAGAAGUGAGAAUGCCGGUGUGAGUAGCGAAAGACGGGUGAGAAUCCCGUCCACCGAUUGACUAAGGUUUCCAGAGGAAGGCUCGUCCGCUCUGGGUUAGUCGGGUCCUAAGCUGAGGCCGACAGGCGUAGGCGAUGGAUAACAGGUUGAUAUUCCUGUACCACCUAUAAUCGUUUUAAUCGAUGGGGGGACGCAGUAGGAUAGGCGAAGCGUGCGAUUGGAUUGCACGUCUAAGCAGUAAGGCUGAGUAUUAGGCAAAUCCGGUACUCAUUAAGGCUGAGCUGUGAUGGGGAGAAGACAUUGUGUCUUCGAGUCGUUGAUUUCACACUGCCGAGAAAAGCCUCUAGAUAGAAAAUAGGUGCCCGUACCGCAAACCGACACAGGUAGUCAAGAUGAGAAUUCUAAGGUGAGCGAGCGAACUCUCGUUAAGGAACUCGGCAAAAUGACCCCGUAACUUCGGGAGAAGGGGUGCUCUUUAGGGUUAACGCCCAGAAGAGCCGCAGUGAAUAGGCCCAAGCGACUGUUUAUCAAAAACACAGGUCUCUGCUAAACCGUAAGGUGAUGUAUAGGGGCUGACGCCUGCCCGGUGCUGGAAGGUUAAGAGGAGUGGUUAGCUUCUGCGAAGCUACGAAUCGAAGCCCCAGUAAACGGCGGCCGUAACUAUAACGGUCCUAAGGUAGCGAAAUUCCUUGUCGGGUAAGUUCCGACCCGCACGAAAGGCGUAACGAUUUGGGCACUGUCUCAACGAGAGACUCGGUGAAAUCAUAGUACCUGUGAAGAUGCAGGUUACCCGCGACAGGACGGAAAGACCCCGUGGAGCUUUACUGUAGCCUGAUAUUGAAAUUCGGCACAGCUUGUACAGGAUAGGUAGGAGCCUUUGAAACGUGAGCGCUAGCUUACGUGGAGGCGCUGGUGGGAUACUACCCUAGCUGUGUUGGCUUUCUAACCCGCACCACUUAUCGUGGUGGGAGACAGUGUCAGGCGGGCAGUUUGACUGGGGCGGUCGCCUCCUAAAAGGUAACGGAGGCGCUCAAAGGUUCCCUCAGAAUGGUUGGAAAUCAUUCAUAGAGUGUAAAGGCAUAAGGGAGCUUGACUGCGAGACCUACAAGUCGAGCAGGGUCGAAAGACGGACUUAGUGAUCCGGUGGUUCCGCAUGGAAGGGCCAUCGCUCAACGGAUAAAAGCUACCCCGGGGAUAACAGGCUUAUCUCCCCCAAGAGUUCACAUCGACGGGGAGGUUUGGCACCUCGAUGUCGGCUCAUCGCAUCCUGGGGCUGUAGUCGGUCCCAAGGGUUGGGCUGUUCGCCCAUUAAAGCGGUACGCGAGCUGGGUUCAGAACGUCGUGAGACAGUUCGGUCCCUAUCCGUCGUGGGCGUAGGAAAUUUGAGAGGAGCUGUCCUUAGUACGAGAGGACCGGGAUGGACAUACCUCUGGUGUACCAGUUGUCGUGCCAACGGCAUAGCUGGGUAGCUAUGUGUGGACGGGAUAAGUGCUGAAAGCAUCUAAGCAUGAAGCCCCCCUCAAGAUGAGAUUUCCCAACUUCGGUUAUAAGAUCCCUCAAAGAUGAUGAGGUUAAUAGGUUCGAGGUGGAAGCAUGGUGACAUGUGGAGCUGACGAAUACUAAUCGAUCGAAGACUUAAUC
RNAcentral lists this ribosomal RNA (2908 nucleotides) under Staphylococcus aureus. RNAcentral describes it as "bacterial LSU rRNA". It matches the Rfam family "Bacterial large subunit ribosomal RNA". The record is from RNAcentral. Lineage: Bacteria; Bacillati; Bacillota; Bacilli; Caryophanales; Staphylococcaceae.